GGCGUCGUGGCGGAGUGGCUACGCAGCGGUCUGCAAAACCGUGUACACGGGUUCGAAUCCCGUCGAUGCCUCCA
RNAcentral lists this transfer RNA (74 nucleotides) under Microbacteriaceae bacterium VKM Ac-2855. Its description in RNAcentral is "tRNA-Cys". It matches the Rfam family "tRNA". Rfam says of the family: Transfer RNA (tRNA) molecules are approximately 80 nucleotides in length. RNAcentral also lists the same sequence under 1 other name. The record is from RNAcentral. Lineage: Bacteria; Bacillati; Actinomycetota; Actinomycetes; Micrococcales; Microbacteriaceae.